RNA transcript from Marmota monax (woodchuck), 13659 nucleotides. It is a transcript of the gene named negative regulator of P-body association, with no coding region annotated. The transcript has 6 exons. The record is from RefSeq and is a predicted model, not a curated record. Lineage: Eukaryota; Metazoa; Chordata; Mammalia; Rodentia; Sciuridae.
ACAUUUCCCACCCGAAACCAGUCUUUGAAGGAUUGCAGUAUGACUCCAUUUCCUUGGUGCAUUCGUAAAAUAGUUCACCCAAUGAAGAUUAUUUACACUGCUACCCUGCUUUUUCUGAUGUUCUGCACCUGGCAGUUGUGAUUUCCAAGAUAUACAUGACUGUAGAGUGUAUUUUGACAUAUCAUAUAUACAUGGAGUUGACAACUUGAUUUUAAUCAAGACCUGGAGAAGAGAUAGUCUGCAAUCAAGCUGGAAAGGACCUUACCAAGUGCUCCUGAUCACUGGGAUGGCUAUCUGAACUGCUAAAAAGGGGAAAACUUAUUACCAGCUAUCUGCCCUUUGCCCAGGACACCAAGACAAACAUCUGGCAAUGUGGGAGCCAGCCUACCAUUUGAUCCUGGAGUGGAGUCACACCAGGGGGACUGUGUGGAGGAAGCAGCAGCAUCAGUGGAGCAACAGGUCUCUAUCUGCACAAGGUUCACACCCUGGUCCUGUUUUGCUGAGAAGACAGCCUUGGCUGGUGGCUCUCUUCCCUGGGAGGACAGGGGAUACCACUCAGUGGGACACCUGUGCAUUGGAGAUUCAAGGUAUUUUGGUUCACUCUCUUGCCUUCUGCUUCAAUAUAAUUCUCUCAUUUUCCAUCUGUUCUCUUCCUGUCACUUCUGGUUUUCCAGUUGUUGCUUUGUGGAGAUUGGGUUCUGGUAGGAAGGAGGCCUUGAGAGGAAGCAGGAGGAUCAGAAAGACAACAGAAUGACUUCUGUGGAAAUCAUGAUGACUCUUGUGCACUGGAGAGGGAGGGCUCUUCAGUUUUCUUGACUUGAGCACCAUCAGCGAGGAUCUCCAUUUUCCUUGUGCCAAGUUUGUCCCCAUUUCUUGCACACUUAUGUUCCUGGGGUAGACUCUUGCUUUGGUCCUGGGGAACAGGUGGUGGGAGGAUGGGGGUGAGGAGUUGGUAGGGUUACUCUCUGGCCCUCUGGCUGGUUAGAAUGGACUGAUGACAUAACUAACUUAUGGGUCAUAAUCUGCCUUUGCCCUGGAAAAGUCCUACAUGCACACUCAUGGGGCAGCAUUCUGGGUGGUGAGUUCUUUUCCUAGCAUUGUGAGCACUUGUCACUCCGUAUGUUGGUUACGGUCUUGUGAAGGGUUCCUGGACUAGAUCCAUGAAAAUACCCUGGGUGGCACCCAACAGGGCUAUGUGGUACAUGAGGGCAGUGUCUGGGGCCACUUGUCUGCUCACACUGUAAUGCAUAUGUGUCUUACUCUUCAUCAGGCCAGGUCACACUGUGUUUGAAAGUCCACUAGAAGCAGCCUAACUGAUCAAUUAUGAAAUGGAAUGAUCAGGGGUUUUUUAAUAUUUAUUUUUUAGUUGUAGGUGGACACAAUAUCUUUAUUUUAUUUUUAUGUGGUGCCGAGGAUUGAAACCAGUGCCUCAUGCAUGCUAGGCAAGCACUCUACCACUUGAACCACAACCCCAGCCCCAACGGGAUGAUCAGGUUUUAAUUCAUAACUGCAACUUUUUUUAAAAGUUAGGAGUCAGUAAUUUGUUUCACUAGAAUGGAGAUAAGAUGUAAACAAUUUUAUCUUUUAGGCUUUUUAUUUUAAAAAAUAUUUAUUUGUUAGUUAAUAGGUGAACACAAUAUCUUUAUUUUUAUGUGGUACUGAGGAUUGAACCCAGUGCCUCACAUAUGCUAGGCAAGUGCUCUACCUCUGAGCCACAACCCAGCCCAUAUCCUUUAGGAUUUUUAUUCAAUUAUGUGAAAACCACAAAUCAGGUACUGUAUUUUAGUUAAAUAUUACUUUAAUUGCAACAAAACAGCUUUUGUGGCUGUCAAAUGAAAUCUAUAAAUAGGAAGUGGAGGUUAAGUCAUCCUGACUGAGCAGUUUUUAACUGCAGGCUCUAAAACUAUGUCAAGAAGUGAAGAGAGGGGCUGGGGUUGUGGCUCAGGGGUAGAGCGCUCGCCUAGCACGUGCGAGGCCCUGGGUUCAAUCCUCAGCACCAUAUAAAAAUAAAUAAAUAAAACAAAGAUAUUGUGUCCAACUACAACUAAAAAAAAGAGGUGAAGAGAAUAUAAUAGACGCUGUUUAUGAUACAAUGUGUUUGAAAACAACUGUAUUUUGGUGAGUCAUGGAAUAUCCAGUUGUGGUUACAUGGUCACGGGAACAUUCCUAUUUCAGGUCUUUUCCUUCAGGGUUACUGGGAUAAGUCACAGGUUACUUUGAUCUUUAUUCAAAGAUCCCUGACUAUCUAUCCUGAGUUUCUUGAGAUUGGAGCCAGGUGUGUAUCCACACUGAGGAUUUAGCCAGGGAAGAACAUGACAAGUAUGCAACAGAGGGCCUGUUGAUCAGGUUUCCAUGCCUUUGAUUGAGGAUUCCUACACAGUGGAGCUCUUGCUAUUGUCCACUGACCCACCCCAAGGUGCUGAAAUCACAGCCAAGGAGGCAGCUGAUUAACACAGUACUUGGGGGUGUCAUCUGGCACUUUACAGGGGUGAAGCUAGCCUUAGGCUUUUAGAUUUUUUUUUUAAACAAUAGGGAAGAUUCAGUCAUCUCUGUGGUAUUUUAAAUUCCCAAGGACAUCAGAUUGAAAUAUCAGUUGUCAGAUUCUUUUAACAAUAUGUCUUCAAAGUUUUUGCUUUAAUAUCUAAAAAAGGAUUCCUUUUUUUCUCAUUUCAAAUCUUUAAGUAUUUUGGGUGAGAUAAAUCACUCAUUUGCCUAUGACCUUUUAGAAAAGUCAUUUUAUGGAAAUACUGUAUGUAUACUUAAUCUAAAUUUGAGUGGACUAUCCUUUAGUGUAUUUAUAAAUGAUCAACUCAGUUUAUGAAAUUAAACUUUUUAUUUGCAAUUUUUUAAAAUGAAAAAAAGAAAAUACCUGGGUGGAAUAAGUAUGCUCAUUCUCCUCCUCAUCAUAGUUUUCCUUUUAUGCCAUCCCUCUUCUUCCUUGUUUUUCACUUUCUACUGAUAGUCAGUCCAGGGCCAGUGUUCUGUGAAGGAAGGCAAGUGUCCAUCCACUGCUUGUUGGUUAUGGGGGCAUUCACCAUCCUAGCAUGAGGUCAUGGGGGGACAUUCUACCUUCUUGAAAUAAAGUAUGGCUGAAGAUCCCCAGAAGAGUCUCUUCUGUCCUGCAAACAAUCAAACAGAUAAACAAAAACAUGCACAUGUUACUUGUGAACAAAUAGAACCCUCCCUGGGCACAUUUCCAGCAAAAGACUUAAAGGCUUUUUUCUCCUUGUAAGUCUUUUCCCCACAGAAUCUGAAAAGUUGCAAAGUUAGUCCAGGAUGCAUCACUUCAAGGUGUGCUCUGUUGCCUUUCCUCCCUUCCAAUCCUAUGUACACAACAGGAUGGAAUUCUGUGUGUACCUGCACUGUAUCUCCACCAUCUUCACAUGAAUGCUCCCACUUAGACAGGCAGAGGCACCCACACAGAUACCCACAUAUACACUUGCAUGCACGUGGGUCCCCCGUAGACUCCAUUAUCCACACUGGUACACACAUCCAAAGAUAUACUGAAGCACAGAAGCUCAGGGCUCCGGGUCACCCCCUUCACAUGCACAUACACACACAUACACACACGUACACACACACACAGACACACAAUCCCACCUCCCGUUGUUACAGGGCUGGUGCCUUCUGGGAAACUGAGGCCAUCCAAAAGCCCUUCCUCAAACCCUGACUCUUGUGAUUAAGUCAGAAAAAUUUCAGACGUCACUCAGAGUAACAUGGUAAGAUUAUUAGAAGGGAUGGGAAAGGAGAAAAGGGGGCAUUCUCAAGGGAGAGAGUGGUUCUCUCAGAGAGGAGAGGGAAUGUGUGCCUCUCCUGUAUUCCUAUUUUAUUUGGUAUCUCAGAGAAGUUUCCAGAGUCCUGCCCAGGUCCACCUCUUGACUUUUUUUUCUUUUUUCUUUCUUUCUUUCUUUUUUUUUUUUUGGUGCUGGGGAUUGAACCCAGGGCCUUGUGCAUGCAAGACAAGCACUCUACCAACUGAGCUAUAUCCCCAGCCCCCACCUCUUGACUUUUGAUUGACAGCAGUAAAGUCCUCUAUUGCACAUGACAACUCUAGGUCAUUUUGUCCAUACUGAUCAGUUCUAAUUGGAACCUGUUCUUAAAAGUCUCUUAUCCAUAUUAUUUUAGGCCUGCAUUUUUCCUGAAGAUAGUAGGUAGUAAGGGCUAGGGAUAUAGCUCAGCUGGUAGAGUUCUGGCCUGCAAACACUAAUCCCCAGUACCACCACCACCAAAAAAAAAAAAAAAAAGACAGUAGGUAGUUUGCUGAGGAAUGUGACAUGUCUGUCUACUUAAGCCAGGCAGAACUGCAGUUAAAUUUCUUCUUGGCAAAGAAAGCAUGCGGGGAUCAGCACAGUGGGCCCAUUUUAUUGAAUUAUUCCCUUAUACUCAUGUCUGUCUGUUCCCUAUCACUAUCUGUUAUCUGAGAAAAAGACUACCAGUUUCUGCUCUAAGCCUUAACAACCAGGUAAUCCAUGGAGAAAUUCUGGCCUCUUCUUACGAAUGAAAGAAGGGAGCUAUCACCUAGGCCCAAGGAACAGGUAUGAAAGUGGGGUAUACUUUGUAGUCCUGGGUAAACAGCCCUCCCACACUAACCUCUCCCACUGGCAGUAAAGAUAGGAGAAUACUCAGGCCAUGAGCCUCUCAGGAGAUGUGUUUUUUGGCCUUUUGCAGGUCCCCUAGUGAUGCCAGGUCAGCCUGCCAGGAGUAAGACUGGAGUGAGUUGGCAAGUGCAUUCUGGGGAAGCUGCUCCUCCCAACCUGUGGCUGGAGUUUGCAGUGGCCUUUCCUGGCUGCUUUGGCUGGGCUAGCCCAAGGUGGUGUUGCUACCACUGGUUAUUGGUGAUGAGUUCUGCUUCCUCACAUGUUGAAGUUUGAACAUUAGAGAAGCAGGCUGAGGCAAGCAUAUAAAGCAGGGUUUAUUUAAAAAGGAGUAACACAGACUUCUCCCUGGAGGGAGAAGGGAGGGAAUAGCUGGUAUCCUAGUAUCCCAAGAAGUGAGGGCAUCCUGCCCCCUUUAUACAUCUAGACUUUCUUUGUUCUUCUGCCUUCUUCCCCAUUCUCUCUCUCCUUCCUGUGAUACCUGACAAGGCCCAGGUGAUGCCAGUGGGGUAGCCAAAAGGUGAGAAGCAGAUGGGCAUGGCUAAGGGCCAAAUGGAGUGAUUCAGGCAGGAAGCAGCCCAGGAGACAUUAACUAAUAACUUUUAUAACUUCCUGUAGGGAGGGACAAUUUAUGGGACAGAUUACCUUAGCAACAGGUUGGAGGAGGGGCAGGUUAUCUCUUAAGGGUGGAGGGAGGGCUCUGAAGGCAUUAACAUUUCAAUUCCUCUGGGUUGGUCUCCUACUUCCCAGACCCAAGUUGGCCUCAGAUUUCUUAUCUAUACUGACUGCCUGUCUUUAAUUCUGGCUUUAGUGUGGCCUCUAUCUGAAUCCCCAAGCCUUGGUCAAGAAACCCAGGGCUGCAGGAAAACCAUGAGCCAGGUAGCACUCUGAUCAGGACCUGGUCUUCUGUGGAGCCAGCCUGGGAUUUGAAUCCUGGAAUGGAGAUACAGUGAGCCCCAGGAUGUGUCCCUUCCCUAGUUAAGUCAACUGGAGAGGAUGUUGUAUGAGGAAUUACAGGUGCCCCUGCUGGGGGAAGAAGGAAGAAAGGCUGCCAGGAAAGUAGAUUCCUACAGGUUGUCCAGCCCUUGGUUCUUGAGCAGUUGGUCCUGUGAGUUCGUGGAUCAGAGUGGAAGUAAGGUGGCUAUUUUCUUGUUUUCUGUUUCUAUCCUUCAGUUUUUAGAUUUUGUUUUUCAAGACCCAAAGGGUGGGGGAGCUUGCUACAGCACCAGGUAGCAUUAUAGUUGAGCUUUAUGGAGCUAUACUGCCAUCAAGUGGAAUAUGUUUCUGGUGAGCUGAGCCACAAGGCAGCAGAGCCGGGUGGAAAUCAGCAACACGCAGGAGACAGGAACUGUAAGCGAAAAUGGAUGAUUAUGCCCUGGCUGGCACUUGCCCUGUGCUCAUUCAGAGGAGUAAGGGCACCUGGCUCCUCCGCCAGGGAACACAAAGGAAGAAAAGGUUGGCAGUGGAAGGCCCACCAUAGUUGCUACAGGCAGUGGCCAGGGACAGCUUAGCGUAAACCAUGUGGUCCCCCAAACCUCCAGGUUGCUGUGUACCCAGCAAGGAAAGGGGUCUCCCGGCCUCAGCAUCGUGGCGGCCUCCAGCAGGGGCACCUGUAAUUCCUCACACAGACCCCAGAUCCCAAGGCCACCGAGCUCAGUCAGCAGCCAGCAGCUUCUCCUGGGCCCGCCCCAAAAAGGCGCCCUGGGCUGGUUGGUGCAGUGCUGCUGCCUGCAGGGUUCCAGGGCCCCUGGACCUGCUGCUUUCCCUGGGUAGGGUCCUGAGGGCAGGCAGGCUUCCCCCUGUGCUUUUGACUCCUGAUGGGGAGACCCUUGCUUGACCAGCAUCUGUUCUUCUCAGCCUGUCCUUGCUCUCACACCCCCAUCCCAUACCACCCUGGUGCCUGGCGGCUGGCUCAAGGUAAAUGUCCCUUGUGCCUGGGCUUUUCAGAAACCAUUUCUCCUGGUUGGACCUGCGGUUCCACAAAUGAUAGUCACUACUUACCCCACCCCAGCCUGCACUGUCUCCCUCCCUUUGUGUUCUGAAAAGCACCAGACAUAGGAUACCCAUAUCACCUUCAGAUAGGCUGUGGACCUGCCUACUUGGCCACUCUGGGGGCAGACCAGGCUCUCCUUUUUUACCUUUGAAUUCACCGAUUGGUAUGGGUUCUUGUGGACACAGACUGCCUGACCCAGUGUGCAUCACCUAACUCCCUCCAAUGGCCUUCCUUCAUACACCCAACCACCAUUCUCAGGGCAGAGGAGGACAUAAACAUUCCCCUUGGAGCUGCAUGUCCCUCUGGGACAGGAACUUGGGUCUCUUGUUUGUGUGCAACUCGCUUUUCCUUGGGUAGGAAACUUCUUUGUGGCCACAGGGGCACAGGUUGGGGGGCCAGAACUGUCAGAUCCAAGAAGGACAGCUGAAGUGGUUAUAACAUGCCAGAGAACCUGGCAGGACAAGGAGGUCAUGGCACCUCCCUCAGAAUCCAAGGCACUCCUUUGUGUCAGGGGGAAGGUGAUCUCUCUGAGAUGGGUUUCAUGGGGGCCUCUCCUUGGAAGGCCUCCACUGUGCUCAGCAUACUUCAUUGGCUCACUGGUUGGGAUUUAGGUGUUCCUUGACAGAGGCAUGGGUAGACAGGCUGGCAGACUUCUAUUCCACACCAGAAGUAGGUGCCUGUUCCAUGCUCAGUAGUUCUAGAUACCCUGAAUAUUUUAUCUUCAGGUGGAGUUUAGAUUCUGGCAGAGGGGUGGUGGGAAGCUGAAUGCAGGAAGUCCUGUGCCUUCAGAGAUGCUGAGGGGGUGGGGUAGAAGGCCUGUGAAUUAUGCCUAUACACAGACCUGUGCACUUUGAACCAGAGCUCUGGUGCAUUCUGAUUAUUCACCUUGGAUAUUAAGUGAGAAGUGGAGGUGGUAGGUAGCAGGGCGGGAAUGGGCAAGGGGGGCAGGUAUGUUUGUUCAAGUAUAUUUCUUGUGAUUCUCUGUAUGUGGGUGUGCAUGUAGAGAAGUUAGACCACCAUUUGAAAUUUUCCAUGCAGAUAGGCCACCUCAAGUAGCAGGACCUAUAUGAAGGGCUGGUUUGAAAGAUAUGUCCUGGUUACCUUAUUGUGAAGGUUCCUUAGCCUAACUUCAAUGCUUGUUGCCUGGAGAGUAGUAGGCCUGGUGCAUCAUUCUCCCAUGUGCCAAAUGUCUGCUCUCUUUCCAGAGGUGUAGACCACAGUGGGAAUGCAGCCAUCUCUUGCCAAAGUAAGCUUGACAUUCCAGAUCAACACAGUGCAAUGGGGAUACUCCCAAGUGUGGAUUCAACCACUUGUCCAUCCUUCCACUCUAAUAUGAUGCUGGAAAUAGAGCAACAUUUAAAUAUGGGUAGAAGAAACCAAAAGCAAAGAAUGCAUAUGUGAACAGGAACCACCUCUAUCCACUCUCCUGUUACCUUUCAACUACUUUGAAGUUGUGUAGCAAUCAUAAGGUCAUCUAUUGCACCUGCUUAAAGCUGGGGAGAAAGAAAUGCAGGGAGGUGGACUUUCAGGUGGUAGAAUGCUCCCUCUUUGUCACAGGUCAUCUUUUUUUUUUUUUUUUCCUUCACAUUGAGCUGCACUCACUUCUCACUCUUGGAGAUAGCUGAGCUUGUCUAAGUCUUCAGUUACAUGCAUCCGUAUUUAAGCUGAGGUGAGCAGGUCUGUGCACCCACACACCCACACUCAUACACAGGCGAUCCCCAAGCCAGGCUCAGUGGGCUGGACCACUCGAUUUGACUGUUCCCUCUGUUGCCCCCCUCACUUGACACUGUCUGCCUGUUUUCCCAGUUUAGCCUGUGGGACAAGGAGGAGGCAGUGCCAUCAUCGCACAAGAGACCUCUGGCUGGACAAGGCUUAUACCAUGGUCUCCAGGGGGUAAAAAUGCAAUCCUGUCUGGUGGUACUCUUUUCCUGUGAGGAUAGUGGAUGCCACUCCAUGAACCACAAGUCCACUUGCUAUUCAAAUUAUUCUGGUUCACUCUCCUACCUUCUGCUUCACUACAAUUCUCUGUUCAUUUUCCACUUGUUCCUCCCAUGGCUUUCCAUUACUGAGAGUCACUACCUGUUCUUCAUUCUUACUUUGUGGAAAUCAGGUUCUGGCAGGGUGUGUUGGGAGGAAGCAGGAGGACAAGGACAAAGAAUAGAAUGAUUUCAUUGCAAAUCAUAAUGACUCUUGUUGAUUGAGGGAGAGAGGGGCCAUCCCCGCUUCUACCUAGCCUUGGGUACUAUCCAUGAAGAUCUCAUCUCCCUUGUAUCUGGUUCAUCCCCAUUUCAUGCCCACUUGUGUUCCCAGUACACUACGGUCUUGGGGAAGAGGAUGGGGGAAGAUGCAGGUCGGGUGGGGAGAGUCAUUUUCUGGACCUCUGGCCAGUUGGAAUGUGCUGAUGACAUAGCCAAGUCAUGGUUCAUAUUUAGCCUUUGCCACUGCAAGUUCCUACAGGCCCAUUCAUGGUGCAUUCCAUUGACAAGAGCAUUCUGGGGGGGGGGGUGUUCUUUCCUUAGGAAGUAGGCCACUGUGUCACCCUGCCACUCCAUGUGUUGGUUACCACCCUAUGAAGAUUUCAGGCUCAAGAUCCUUCAAAACACCCUAGGAGGAAUGUGGGUGCUCAUUUUCCCCAUCCUCUUCCCCUUCUCAUGACAUCCACCUUCUUUGCAUUGCCUUUCACUUUCUACUGCUAACCAGGCGAGGUAUAGUGUUCUCUGGAAAAAGGCAAGUGUCCUUCCUUCCUCUGCUUGUUGGUUAGGGGUAGAUGCACUAUCCUAGCAUGGGUCCUUGGGAGACACUACAUCCUUUAUUGAAAUUGAUCAGGGUUGAGGGUCACCAGUAGUGUUCCUUUAGUCCUGCAAAAAAAAAAAAAAAAAAUCCAUCUGCAUGUUACUUGUGAACAAAUAGGUCAUCGGAUGUAUGAUCAGCAAAAGACCUCAAGACUUUUCUCUACUUGCAAGUCUUCUCCCCAUGGAAGCUGGAAAGUUUCAAAGUUGGGCUAGGAGACACCACUUCAAGGUGUCCCCUGUGACCUUAUCUUCCCCUCCAAUUCCACAACAGCAUGGUAUUCAAUGUGUGCCUAUAAACUGUCUCUGCCAUUUCAACAUGAACAGUCCCAUUCACACAGGCAAGUACCCAGAGAUAUGGACACCUACCAAUAUACCAGGACACACUUUUACUCCCCUUCCCGCAGACUUGACUAUCACUACUUAUGUAUAUACCCAAAGACACAGAAGCCUAAGGCUUAGGUCAUCCUUUGCCUGUGUCCACUUUUCCCUUUCCCUCUCUUACCACCCUACAACAGAGUAGACACACACUCCACAUCACUCACUAAUCUGGUAUCAGAAAAGGUCAGAACUUCUCUUCUUCAAGCCUUGUUAGGCUUCUCUUCUCCAAGCCUUAUCAACCAAGUAAAUCAUGGGGGCAACUCUGGCUUCCUCUUUCAAAUUAAAGGAAGGAAGCUAUCACUUAGGCCCAAAGAGCAGGUGUGAAAGUGGAGCAUACUCUGUAUUCCUGGGUAAACUGUUCCCCUCCCAACCUCUUCUACUGACAUUAAGGACCCAGGGAGUUCCUCUGUUGAGAGGCCAGGAGCUUCUGAUGUGUUCUUUGGCCUUCUGCAGGUCCCCUGUGAAGCCAGACCAGCUUACCAGGAGUCAGACUGGAUUGUGUUGCUAGGUGCCUCUUCCCCAGGAAGCUUCUGCCUCCCAACCUGUGGUUGGAAGUUGCCUGGCUUUUCCUGGCUGCUUUGCUUGGGCCAUUUGAAGGUGUUUGUGGCCUCUCCCUAGGCCUUGGUCAAGAAGCCUGGGGUUUCAGGAAAAAAAAAAAACACAUGAAUCUGCCUCUGGUUUGUGACCAGCACCUGGUGUGAGGAGCCAGCCUAGGAUACAGAUACUGGAGAGGAGUCACAGUGAUCCUCAGGACAAGUCCUUUCCCUGUUCCUUCUUGCCAGAGCAGGAAGUGGGGAAGGCAAAAGAAUGCCUGAUCACUGGAACAGGAUUUCUGAGGCCUCUGCACCUCCUGGUUCUUCUUCAGUUGGUCCUGUGAGUUUGCAGGUCCAGUUGGGGCAUGGUAGCCUCUUUUUUGCUUUCCAUUCCACUUUCCCACAUUUUAGACUGCUGUGUUUUUUUUAAGACGCAAAGGGCGGGGGGAGAGUGGAGUGGAGAGGCAAGUGGCAGCAACUUUGAGAAGUGUAGUGCUCUAUCGCCAUCAAGUGGAAUGAGUUUCUGAUGAGUGGAGCCGAUUGGGCACCAGGGCCCAGUCCAGUCCAGCUCCGUGCAGGAAUCAGGGCCGCGAUCCACCACCGCCACUUGCCAUCAACCCAUGGCCACCGCGAACCAAGGUGGACGGUUACGCCCUGGCUGGCACUUGCCCCAGCUCAUUCCAAGCACAAGGGACACCCUGACUCCUCCACCAGGGAGCAGGGAGGAAGAAAAGGCUGACAGUGGGCGGCCCUCCAUAGCUGCCACAGACUGCUAUCUUCCCGGCAAGGAAAGGGGCCUCCUGGCCUCAGCGUGUGCUGACCUCAGGCAGGAGCACCUGCAACUCUUGACCUAAGACCCCAGACCGCAAGGCCAGAACUCAGCUCAGUCAGAGGCCAGCGGCUUCUCCUGGCCCAUCCUAAAAUGGCGCCACAGGCAGCUCCGCCCCCUGUGCUGGUUGGUGCAGCUCUACUGCCCGGAGGGUCCCAGGGCCCCUGGACGGGCUGCUUUCCCUGGGUAGGGUCCUGAGGGCAGGCAGGCUUCCCCCUGUGUUUUGGACCCCUGGCCGGGGGAGACCCUUCCUUGGCCAGAGUACGCUUUUCCCAGCCCGUCCUUGCUCUUACAUCCCCAUACCACACCACCCUGGUGCCAGGCUGCUGGCACAAAGCAAGUGUCCCUUCUGCCUGGGUUUUUCAGAAACUAUUUCCGCUAGAUGUCACUGUGGUUCCACAAAUAACAGUCACUUUUCCCCACCCCCACCUAGGCUUCCAUUUCCUCCUUUUGUUAUCUGAAAACACCAGAGAGGAUGCCCAUGGUACCUUAAGUCAGGCUGUAGACCUUCCUUUCUUGGUCCCUUUCCCGGCAUAUCUGGCUCUCUGCUUCUUCCUUUUCUCUGGAUUCACCUCUUGGUUUUUGUCCCUGUGGACACAGACCUACUUUUUCUCCGUGCAUUGCCCAAUCUGCCUUCUAUUGACUUGGGAAGGGGGUGGGGAUGCACAUUCCACAUUUCCCUAGACAUGUGCUUGUCUCACCAGAGCAGGAACCAGGGCAUCCUGUUGUUAUGCAUUUCACUUCUCCCUUGGUAGCCAAGUCCCUUGUGACCAAGGAGCCAAGGAUCCACUGCAAAGGAUCAGGUUAAAGAUACCUGCUAAAGAACCUGAUAGGACUGGGAGAUAGAAAGGGUACCUCAUCUCCUCAGGCCACCUUCCUCACAGGACUCCUCUGUACUCUCUGUGCCCCAGGUUUUUGUGCCCAACCUGAGAUGUUUCACGAGUGCCUUUCUAUGGAACGCUACUGGUGUUUCAUACAAUGCAUUGACCCACUGGUUGGGAUCUAGAUGUCCCUGGUGCAGGCAUAGGUAAGCCAGGCUGGCAGGCUUCAGUACUACACCAAGAGCAGUGCUUGUAUCAAGUUAAGGGGUUCUAGGUCCAGUUGGUGUUUAAUCCCUUAGGGUGGGGAUGAGGUUGUGGGAGAGGGAAGGUUAGAGGAUGGAUGUUGGAAGUGGCUUGCCCUAAGUGAAAGUGUGGGAGUGAGAAGGCCCAUGAAUAAUCCCUAUACAUAGAUAUUUCCCCUCUGAAUCUGAGCUCUUGGGCCUCCUGAUAAGUCAGACAUGGAGGUAGAAGGUAGCAGGGUGGGAAUGGGCAGGAGGGCGAUCUUUUAGUGCAAGUGUGCAUGUGUGCCUUUGUGUGUGUGUUUGUGUGUUAGACCAUCAGUUGAAAGGUUUCCAUGGAGACAGGCCAGUUUAAGUAGCAGGGCCUUUAUGCAGGGCUGGUUUGGAUGCCAAACAGUGAUCACUUUGCUGCGAGAGUUCUUUAAGGCUCCCUUUGACACUGCAUGGAGAGAAGUGUGCCUGGUACACAUAUUCCAGUAUGCCAGAUGUCUCCUGUAUUUCUGGAGGUGUAGGCCAUAGUGGGAAUGCACCAAUCUCUAGGGCAAUGAAUUGACCUCCCAGAAUAUCAUAGUGCCCUGGAAUAUCAUCCUGUGGACCUGUUUAAGUAUGGAUUUAAGCUUUUGUCUAUGCUUCUACUCUAAGAUGUUGCUGAAAGUAGAACAACAUUUAAAUAUGUGGAGAAGAAACCAAAAGCCAGCAGCAAAUGCACCUGAGAACAGGAGCCACCUCCAUCUACUGUCCUGUCACCCCUCACCUACUGUGGAUCUUGUCCUUCUCUGUAGUAAUCAUAAGGUCUCCUACUGCACUUGCUUAGAGAAAAGCUGAGGAGAAAGAAAUGCAGGGAGGUGGACAUAGGUGGUGAGAUGCCCCCUCUCAGUGUCACAGGUCAUCUUUUUUUCUCAUUGAGUUGCAUGCACUCACUUUUCACCCUUGAGGACAGCUGAGCUUACCUAUGUCCUCAGUUACAUGCAUCCCCCAUUUAAUCUGAGGGGAGCAGGUCUGUGCAUGCAUGCACCCACAUUCACACUCAGGCGACCCACAGUGAGGCUUGGUGGGCUGGAGCCCUCGACUGACUUGUCAGUUCCCUGUGUUUCCCCAUCCCCCUCCUCCCUUGUUCCUUUCUGCCUUCCCACUUCAGCCAGGGGGACUGUGUGGAGGAAGCAGCAGCAUCAGUGGAGCAACAGGUCUCUAUCUGCACAAGGUUCACACCCUGGUCCUGUUUUGCUGAGAAGACAGCCUUGGUUGGUGGCUCUCUUCCCUGUGAGGAUAGGGGAUGCCACUCAGUGGGACACCUAUGCAUUUGUUACUUAAGGAAGGGGACCUUGAAAGGAAGCAGGAGGAUCAGACAGAGAAUGAAAUGACUUCAUUGGAAAUCAUAAUGACCCUUGUGGACUGGGGGAGUGAAGAGCUAUCCCCUCUUCUUUCUUGCCUUGAGUACCAUGCACACAGAUCAAGUUGCCCUAGCCUCAUCUGAUUUUA